Molecule: long non-coding RNA, 2216 nt
Filed under: Eucalyptus grandis
Lineage: Eukaryota; Viridiplantae; Streptophyta; Magnoliopsida; Myrtales; Myrtaceae
Description: long non-coding RNA (EGRA_LNC003234)
Source: RNAcentral
CGAUAUCCCAGGACUAUGUAUCACCGACCCUUUCAUUUAUUAAGCACAUGCGGAAGCAGUUAAAAUCCCCAGACAAUAAAACGAUGGGAUAGAAAAGCAGGGCCAUAUUUUUCAUAUUAAAACUUAUAACCAAACUUUUAUACAAAACACAAACCAGAGUACUUCACAACUUUUUACUCUAUCUCUAUUCACAUCAAAAAGGAGAUCUCAAAAUAAGAUAAACUCUCAGCCAUCCAGGCCGUACUCAAGGCCCUUCUCGGGAUUAUCUUCUUCUCCCAAAAAUCUUUCUCCUUAAGUUUCAUCGCAGAGUACUCCUUCUCAGAUUCCUCCUCAGCUCCUCAACGGGGUCCUAAAAUGAUUUCCCCAAACCGGGAUGAGACUACGUCUCAGCGAGUUCUACCCCACUAAGCCUCGAUUAGUAAAUCAUUAUACUAUAGGCUGCCUAAACACGCAUAGGGCUGAGGACUUACCUUGGCCUCAGAUCCCACCUGCAAGUCAGUACAAUUCACAAUAGGCACCCAUUUACUCCAAACAAAUCGAACCAGUUGAUUACAUGUCAUACAAAUCAUUUUCCAAGGAGGAGUAUCUAAAAGCUAGGCCACGUGCAUUUUCUAGGACAACAUUCCAAGUCUCCGAGCCACGUGCCUCGAACCUUGGGCCCACGUGCAUUCUCUAAGGCGAUUCCUUCACCAAGGUGGUACAUAAAGUCACCGAGCCACGUGCCCUUUUAGAUGCUAUUUCCGAAUACUAGACCCACGUGCAUUCUCUAAAGCACUAGUUCACCAAAGUGACGCAUUAGAUCACCAAGCCACGUGUCCUUUUAGAUGCCGUUCUCAAACACUGGACCCAUGUGCAUUCUCUAAGGUACUCGCUUACCAAAGUGACGCAUCAGAUCACCGAGCCACGUGUCCUUUUAGAUGCCUGGGCCCACGUGCAUUCUCUUAGGUGCUAUCUCACCAAAGUGAUGCAUCAAUUCACCAAGCCACGUGCCCUUUUAGAUGCCAAACUCUGUCACCGAGUCACGUGCAUUCUCCAGGACGACAUAUCGAAUCUCCGAGCCACGUGCAUUCUCUCAGGCGACCUUUUCGCCAAGGUGACAUAUUCAACCACUGAAUUCACGUGCAUUCUCCAGGUGAUAUUCCAAUUCACCGAGCCCACGUGUCCUCUUUCAAGUGAUUACCAAUCUACUUUCAAUACCGACAACCAAUGCCCAACGAUUUCUCAAUCAAAUAAUUAAAUCAACUCAACAAAGCAUUAUAAAUACUGAAUAACAUACUUGGCCAUUUACCAAUCAACAAUUCAAUCUCAAUCAAUUCCAAUCAAUUUAGGGUAAAUCCCUAAAAUAUCACAACUUAUUCAAUUCCAUACAACGUGGAGCUCAAAUAAAUAAACGGACUGCGCCACAACGAUCAGCACGUGAUUUCGAUCGUCGGCCAUCAAAAUCUUAAUUUCCGAAAAAUAAUUAAUUAAUUUAUUAAUUUCGAAAAUUAAAUAAUUAAUAUUAAAAAUUCAAUUUAGCUCAAAAUAAAGCCCGAUUAAAUAAACGAACUUCACCACGGUCAUCAGCAUAAAAUUUCGGUUCCAGACCAUCUCGGUUGAAUUUUCGAAAAAUAAAUAAUUAUUUAAUUUAAUUCCGAAAAUUAAUAUUUAAAUACUAAAAAUUCCACUUAGGCUCGAAAAGCCUAAUUGAAGCCCACUAAGGGUAGGGAAAAAUCCCGAGGCACUUCCAAUAAAUAGUAGACCGCGUCUAGUUGCUAAUUGUGCAAUCAAUUUAUCUAAAUCGCAUCACAAUUGACUAAUAAUUGCUAAUUUAUUCUAAUAUAACCACCUAAACGUAAUUAAUUAAAACUAAACUAAUCUUAAGCAUAAUUAGCCAACUAAUCCGGGAUUAGUGAGAUUACUCACCAAAUCGUGCGCAAAUCGGAUCAAUCCAACGGGGGCGACACGAUGAGCGAUUCUUCCUAAAGCACGGCUCGGGUUCGGGGCCCCGAAACGGCCCAAAACGGGCCUUGAACAGGGUGGAAACCCAUUUUUCCAGCCACUGUUCUUGGCUGGACGAAGCUCGUCCGGCGGCUAGGGCGGCGAGGGGAGGCCGGCAGAGGACAAGGGGGACGCCGGGGCGGUCAGGCGAUGCUGGGCGGUGGUCGGAGCUGGCCGGACAGGGCUGAACAGAGGCGAACAGGGCUGAGCAGGGGCCGAUUCGCGUGGGGAGGGGU